This 807-nucleotide long non-coding RNA is filed under the name Fukomys damarensis (Damara mole-rat). RNAcentral's name for it is "lncRNA (ENSFDAG00000026896.1)". The record is from RNAcentral. Lineage: Eukaryota; Metazoa; Chordata; Mammalia; Rodentia; Bathyergidae.
CUUCUGAAGAAGGGUGGAAGCACUGAGUGAGGGAAACUGUAGGUGCUCCCCACGAUGUGUGAUAACCUGUGGAGAGUGUGGUGUCCCUGGCUGGAAGCAGAUGACAGUGACCUUUUGAAACCAUUUCCUGACUUCCAAGAGAAAAAAGAGCACCUAGGAGAAGUUAUCUCUUCAUGUUCAUUGUCUUAAUGUUCCUCCUGAACUUCGAGCAUAAACAAUGAGUACAGAGUGUGUCCUACUUAUAUUCAUGGAAGCUAUGCAACAUGGUAAGUACUCCGUUCUGUAAGCAAAAGUUCCUGUGAUUUUAAAGGGGAUGUGAGGUUAAAUUGCUUCUCUUGAGUUGAAUGUAUAAUCAGGACCCAAGGACAGUCAUGUAGGAGUCUCAGAGGACAGCACAAUAUCACUAGUCUGUCUUGUUCCUAACUUUUCUUGACCCCAAACUUUGUGUUAAGCACAGAGGUUAAUUAUAGAGGAGACAGGGAAGUGAUCUGUGUAUUGAAAUUGGUUAGAGUUCAGAGAAAGCUUCCGACAAGAAAACAAGAAAGAAGGUAGAAAUUAAGAGUCAGAUACAAAGGGAAGGCAUGGUGAAUUCUAUCUGGGAGCAAGUUCUUAGGGAGGAAAGUAAAUGAGGUUAGGAAUGACAUCAUAACAAAAGGUAUAAUUGGGCUAAGGGCUAAAGGUGUAGGGAAAAUGGGAAGGGUGGGGAAAAGGUAAUAAGGGAAAGGAAAAAAUAGGAGAAAAUGGAAAUAAAGUGUUUGUAAAUGAGCAGGGAGGAGGGGGUGAAGGGAGGGCGGGGACAAGGGGAAA